AUUGAACGCUGGCGGCAUGCUUUACACAUGCAAGUCGAACGGUAACAGGUUAAGCUGCCGAGUGGCGAACGGGUGAGUAAUGCAUCGGAACGUGCCCGGUCCGGGGGGAUAACGCAGCGAAAGCUGCGCUAAUACCGCGUACGAACUGAGGCUGAAAGCGUGGGACCGUAAGGCGUCACGCGAUCGGAGCGGCCGAUGUCAGAUUAGGUAGUCGGUGGGGUAAAGGCUCACCAAGCCGACGAUCUGUAGCUGGUCUGAGAGGACGACCAGCCACACUGGGACUGAGACACGGCCCAGACUCCUACGGGAGGCAGCAGUGGGGAAUUUUGGACAAUGGGCGCAAGCCUGAUCCAGCAAUGCCGCGUGCAGGAAGAAGGCCUUCGGGUUGUAAACUGCUUUUGUACGGAGCGAAAAGGCUCUCUCUAAUACAGGGGGCUCAUGACGGUACCGUAAGAAUAAGCACCGGCUAACUACUUGCCAGCAGCCGCCGUAA
Molecule: ribosomal RNA, 493 nt
Filed under: uncultured bacterium
Lineage: Bacteria
Description: partial 16S ribosomal RNA
Rfam family: Bacterial small subunit ribosomal RNA
Source: RNAcentral